RNAcentral lists this transfer RNA (63 nucleotides) under Gnathostomula paradoxa. RNAcentral describes it as "tRNA-Ile". The record is from RNAcentral. Lineage: Eukaryota; Metazoa; Gnathostomulida; Bursovaginoidea; Gnathostomulidae.
AGUAUUAAACUAAAACUUUAGGUUACCUUGAUAGGGUAAAUUAGCUACUAUGUAGUAAUACUU